CUCGUAGGCGGUUCGUUGCGUCCGGUGUGAAAGUCCAUCGCUUAACGGUGGAUCCGCGCCGGGUACGGGCGGGCUUGAGUGCGGUAGGGGAGACUGGAAUUCCCGGUGUAACGGUGGAAUGUGUAGAUAUCGGGAAGAACACCAAUGGCGAAGGCAGGUCUCUGGGCCGUUACUGACGCUGAGGAGCGAAAGCGUGGGGAGCGAACA
RNAcentral lists this ribosomal RNA (207 nucleotides) under uncultured bacterium. Its description in RNAcentral is "partial 16S ribosomal RNA". It matches the Rfam family "Bacterial small subunit ribosomal RNA", at positions 568 to 774 of the family's 1533-position model. The record is from RNAcentral.